GGGUGCGAUCAUACCAGCACUAAUGCACCGGAUCCCAUCACAACUCCGCAGUUAAGCGUGCUUGGGCGAGAGUAGUACUAGGAUGGGUGACCUCCUGGGAAGUCCUCGUGUUGCACCCC
This 119-nucleotide ribosomal RNA is filed under the name Gossypium arboreum. The record is from RNAcentral. Lineage: Eukaryota; Viridiplantae; Streptophyta; Magnoliopsida; Malvales; Malvaceae. RNAcentral also lists the same sequence under 1 other name.